UUUCCGUAGGUGAACCUGCGGAAGGAUCAUUACCGAGUGAGGGCCCUCUGGGUCCAACCUCCCACCCGUGUUUAUCGUACCUUGUUGCUUCGGCGGGCCCGCCUCACGGCCGCCGGGGGGCACCCGCCCCCGGGCCCGCGCCCGCCGAAGACACCAUUGAACGCUGUCUGAAGAUUGCAGUCCGAGCAUCUUAGCUAAAUCAGUUAAAACUUUCAACAACGGAUCUCUUGGUUCCG
Molecule: unclassified non-coding RNA, 236 nt
Filed under: plant metagenome
Description: partial contains small subunit ribosomal RNA, internal transcribed spacer 1, and 5.8S ribosomal RNA
Source: RNAcentral